This 274-nucleotide ribosomal RNA is filed under the name uncultured bacterium. Its description in RNAcentral is "partial 16S ribosomal RNA". It matches the Rfam family "Bacterial small subunit ribosomal RNA", at positions 523 to 796 of the family's 1533-position model. The record is from RNAcentral.
AUACAGAGGGUGCAAGCGUUAUUCGGAAUUACUGGGCGUAAAGCGCGCGUAGGCGGAUGAUUAAGUCAGUUGUGAAAGCCCUGGGCUCAACCUAGGAACUGCAUCUGAUACUGGUCAUCUAGAGUUUAAGAGAGGGAAGUGGAAUUCCAGGUGUAGCAGUGAAAUGCGUAGAUAUCAGGAGGAACAUCAGUGGCGAAGGCGACUUCCUGGCUUAGAACUGACGCUGAGGUGCGAAAGCGUGGGUAGCGAACGGGAUUAGAAACCCCAGUAGUCC